RNAcentral lists this ribosomal RNA (111 nucleotides) under Periophthalmus magnuspinnatus. Lineage: Eukaryota; Metazoa; Chordata; Actinopteri; Gobiiformes; Gobiidae. The record is from RNAcentral.
UACUGUUACCAUACCACCUUGGGAGAUCUGAGUCUGAUCUCGAAGCUGAGCAGAGUUGGGCCUGGUUAGUACUUGGAUUAAAGAUCAUUGGGAAUGCCAGAUCCACUGUGG